AACGAACGCUGGCGGCAGGCCUAACACAUGCAAGUCGAACGCUCCGUAAGGAGAGUGGCAGACGGGUGAGUAACACGUGGGAAUCUUCCUAUCGGUACGGAAUAGCUCAGGGAAACUUGAGGUAAUACCGCAUACGCCCUUCGGGGGAAAGAUUUAUCGCCGAUAGAUGAGCCCGCGUCUGAUUAGCUAGUUGGUGAGGUAAUGGCUCACCAAGGCGACGAUCAGUAGCUGGUCUGAGAGGAUGACCAGCCACACUGGGACGGAGACACGGCCCAGACUCCUACGGGAGGCAGCAGUGGGGAAUAUUGGACAAUGGGCGCAAGCCUGAUCCAGCCAUGCCGCGUGAGUGACGAAGGUCUUCGGAUUGUAAAGCUCUUUUACCAGGGACGAUAAUGACGGUACCUGGAGAAUAAGCCCCGGCUAACUUCGUGCCAGCCGCCGCGGUAA
RNAcentral lists this ribosomal RNA (447 nucleotides) under uncultured bacterium. RNAcentral's name for it is "partial 16S ribosomal RNA". It matches the Rfam family "Bacterial small subunit ribosomal RNA", at positions 29 to 523 of the family's 1533-position model. The record is from RNAcentral.